GGCGAACGGGGGCAAAACGCGUGGAUAAUCUACCUACGAGAUGGGGAUAACAAUUCGAAAUAGUAGCUAAUACCGAAUAAGGUCAAUUGAGGUGUUAAUUGAUGAAAGGAAGCCUUUAAAGCUUCGCUUGUAGAUGAGUCUGCGUCUUAUUAGCUAGUUGGUGGGAUAAGAGCCUACCAAGGCUAUGAUAAGUAACCGGCCUGAGAGGGUGAUCGGUCACACUGGAACUGAGAUACGGUCCAGACUCCUACGGGAGGCAGCAGCUAAGAAUCUUCCGCAAUGGGCGAAAGCCUGACGGAGCGACACUGCGUGAACGAAGAAGGUCGAAAGAUUGUAAAGUUCUUUUAUAAGUGAGGAAUAAGCUUUGUAGGAAAUGACAAAGUGAUGACGUUAAUUUAUGAAUAAGCCCCGGCUAAUUACGUGCCAGCAGCCGCGGUAAUACGUAAGGGGCGAGCGUUGUUCGGGAUCAUUGGGCGUAAAGGGUGAGUAGGCGGAUAUGCAAGUCUAUGUGUAAAAUACCACAGCUCAACUGUGGAACUAUGCUGGAAACUGCAUGACUAGAGUCUGAUAGGGGAAGUUAGAAUUCCUGGUGUAAGGGUGGAAUCUGUUGAUAUCAGGAAGAAUACCAGAGGCGAAGGCGAACUUCUAGGUCAAGACUGACGCUGAGUCACGAAAGCGUAGGGAGCAAACAGGAUUAGAUACCCUGGUAGUCUACGCUGUAAACGAUGCACACUUGGUGUUAAUCGAAAGGUUAGUACCGAAGCUAACGUGUUAAGUGUGCCGCCUGGGGAGUAUGUUCGCAAGAAUGAAACUCAAAGGAAUUGACGGGGGCCCGCACAAGCGGUGGAGCAUGUGGUUUAAUUCGAUGAUACGCGAGGAACCUUACCAGGGCUUGACAUAUACAGGAUAUAGUUAGAGAUGACUAUUCCCCGUUUGGGGUCUGUAUACAGGUGCUGCAUGGUUGUCGUCAGCUCGUGCCGUGAGGUGUUGGGUUAAGUCCCGCAACGAGCGCAACCCUUAUUGUCUGUUACCAGCAUGUAAAGAUGGGGACUCAGACGAGACUGCCGGUGAUAAGCCGGAGGAAGGUGAGGAUGACGUCAAAUCAUCAUGGCCCUUAUGUCCUGGGCUACACACGUGCUACAAUGGCCUGUACAAAGCGAUGCGAAACAGUGAUGUGAAGCAAAACGCAGAAAGCAGGUCUCAGUCCAGAUUGAAGUCUGAAACUCGGCUUCGUGAAUGAAGUUGGAAUCGCUAGUAAUCGUAUGAUACAGAAUGAUACGGUGAAUACGUUCUCGGGCCUUGUACACACCGCCCGUCACACCACCC
This 1326-nucleotide ribosomal RNA is filed under the name Borrelia miyamotoi. RNAcentral's name for it is "bacterial SSU rRNA". It matches the Rfam family "Bacterial small subunit ribosomal RNA", at positions 97 to 1407 of the family's 1533-position model. The record is from RNAcentral. Lineage: Bacteria; Pseudomonadati; Spirochaetota; Spirochaetia; Spirochaetales; Borreliaceae.